UGUAGGGCCGUGGAUGCGUAAAGUGGCCUCGCGUGUCCUAUUUCAGACGGCCCUGAGAAGAACGGGAGCCAAGAUGGCCUCGCACUGCUGUACCUACUAGCGAGGAAAGCGGGAGGGGGCGAAAUUUCCUUCGCCCCCUGAGGAGAGCUCUGCCGAGCCAAGAGUGGAGCAUGACACGGGAGGGACCGUAGAUGCGUUAUAUCUACACGAUCCCGCAGCCUCUCUGUUCCAUACCGAAGCCGGUCAGUAGUUUCAGUAGAAAUCAACAAUAUGUGAAAUGAACAUACGAGGCAUUUUAAGGACUCAAAAAUACAAACAAUAUUGACAAAUGGCCUGAGAACUGAAUAAUUAAGUAACCAGCGGCCUAGUAAAUAAAUGGAAGCCGUCAGAAAGUUAACCGGCCCAUUGAAAAACCGGAUUAUGUGGGACUCCACAGUAAAACCACUGCGAUGGCCGUCCUCGGCACGGAUCGGGUAGGAUGCGGGAUCGUGUCGAUAUAGCGCAUCCCUCCCGUGCUGUGCUCCGCUCGUGGCUCAGGAAACUCUUUUUGGUGUUCUAACUUCUAUCCAAUAUGCCAUCUUGGCUCUAUAUUUUACAUAUUAUAUGAAUGAUUAUCCGACUUAAAAUUUAAUUCAUAUAUUAUCGCAGUCAUACUAUUCGUCUUAGUCA
Nymphalis io (European peacock) is the source of this 669-nucleotide long non-coding RNA. RefSeq lists it as uncharacterized. The record is from RefSeq and is a predicted model, not a curated record. The transcript has 3 exons. Lineage: Eukaryota; Metazoa; Arthropoda; Insecta; Lepidoptera; Nymphalidae.